CCUACGGGAGGCAGCAGUGAGGAAUAUUGGUCAAUGGGCGCAAGCCUGAACCAGCCAUGCCGCGUGCAGGAUGACGGUCCUAUGGAUUGUAAACUGCUUUUGUACAGGAAGAAACACUCCCUCGUGAGGGAGCUUGACGGUACUGUAAGAAUAAGGAUCGGCUAACUCCGUGCCAGCAGCCGCGGUAAUACGGAGGAUCCAAGCGUUAUCCGGAAUCAUUGGGUUUAAAGGGUCCGUAGGCGGUUUUAUAAGUCAGUGGUGAAAUCUGGUCGCUCAACGAUCAAACGGCCAUUGAUACUGUAAGACUUGAGUUACUUGGAAGUAACUAGAAUAUGUAGUGUAGCGGUGAAAUGCUUAGAGAUUACAUAGAAUACCAAUUGCGAAGGCAGGUUACUACAAGUAUAUUGACGCUGAUGGACGAAAGCGUGGGGAGCGAACAGGAUUAGAUACCCUGGUAGUCCACGCCGUAAACGAUGGAUACUAGNUGUUGUAGNAUNUGAGUGNGUAGACGAGGUAGAGUAAGUAGUACCACCGUCGGGAGGUAACGGUCGUCGUUCGAAGAAGUUAGUUAAAGUUAAAGUUAAGUUAAGUUAGACGGACGUUGAGAGAGCGACGGACGACGACGAGGGAGGAGGAG
Molecule: ribosomal RNA, 637 nt
Filed under: uncultured bacterium
Lineage: Bacteria
Description: bacterial SSU rRNA
Rfam family: Bacterial small subunit ribosomal RNA (bases 1-533)
Source: RNAcentral